This is a small nuclear RNA of Cebus imitator (Panamanian white-faced capuchin), 140 nucleotides long. Its record names the gene U4. It matches the Rfam family "U4 spliceosomal RNA". Rfam says of the family: U4 small nuclear RNA (U4 snRNA) is a component of the major U2-dependent spliceosome. The structure of U4 snRNA from yeast and human has been reported. Lineage: Eukaryota; Metazoa; Chordata; Mammalia; Primates; Cebidae. The record is from Ensembl.
AGCUUUGCGCAGUGACAGUAUUGUAGCCAAUGAGGUUUAGCCUAGGCAUGAUUAUUGCUAAUUGAAAACUUUUCCCAAUAUCCCGCCAUGACGACUUGAAAUACAGUCGGUGUUGGCAAUUUUUGGCAGUCUACGGAGAC